Molecule: non-coding RNA, 2514 nt
Organism: Camellia sinensis
Lineage: Eukaryota; Viridiplantae; Streptophyta; Magnoliopsida; Ericales; Theaceae
Source: RefSeq, a predicted model, not a curated record
UCUCUCUCUCUCAGAGUGAAAUGUUUAGUUAAUUGGAGAAUUUGAACUAGCGUGUACUAGAGUUUUAGAAUUAUAAUUUGAGAAUAGAGUUGUAUUUUGAGUUUGCGAGUUUUAAAAUUAUGAUUUGAAAAGUGAAAAUUUGUUUGGUUAAGAGUUUGCAUUUGAGGUUUGAAUUUUUGAUGGGACAUAUGAAAUGAAAAAAAGUUGUUUGGUUAUGAAUUUUGAAAAGAGUUUUCAAAACUUAAUUGAAAUAUUUGUAACUCAUAAUCAAACACACGGCUCAAAACUCUUUUGAAAAUUCUAUUCAAAACGCAUAAUCAAACUCGUUUUAACAUUCAAUUCAAAAAAAAUUGUCAUUUUGAUUUAAAAAUAAUAAUUUCUAUAUUUAAAAAAUAUCAAAAACAAAUAUAAAUUUUUUUUUUCCCAAAUAACUGAUAACGAUUGGCGAUUGGCAAUUGGCAAUUGCAAAAAAAAAAAAUUUACAUUGUUCCGAUCAACCGGCUAGACAUCUGGGGACGUCCGGACGGAUGAUCGGAUAGACCCAAAAUUCAAAAGCCUUUGCUUUUCAAAAUGGAGAAGAUGAAAGAGAGAGGGUAGCCAAACGUGAAAGAGAAAUAUGUUUUGAAAUGUGCGGUGGAAUCACAUUUCCAAAAUUCCAUCCAAACAAUGCAUGCAAACGGAGGGGUGGAAUUAUGAUUAUAAAGCUGCACCAAAAACAGCGAAUUUUUAUUUGUAGUUUUUUGCAGCACAGAAACAAUUUUUAAAGCUCAAUUACUUAUUUGUCUUUGGGUCAGGCAAUUACUUUUGUCUAUUCAUUCAUAAGUUUAAGAUAAACAAUAAAUAAUGAAAGUUCAUAUUUAUACUCAUCAGAUUUAAUGCUAAAAAUAUUCCAUACCAUGACCAAAGUAUUUCACUUGAAAGAUUUUAGUUUCUAAAAUUUAAAAUGAAUGUUAAUCUUAUCAAUUAUUAUCUUGCACAACAGCAUACUUGCAUGGAAUAUAUGUCUCUUAUCAUGUUCUGCUUUUCGUUCAUGGAUUUGUUGUUGUCAAGGAAAUGUGAUGGUCACUUUUGCAUCGGUAACCCAAUGAAUCUAUAAGGAAAAAAAAUCAUAUAGCUGUCCCUUGUUUUAUGGUGUGGAUGUUGGAGAAACUUCAAAAGGAUUUCCAUUAGUGGGUGACUUUUAAGUAUCACUUGGUGAAUUGGGAAAGUGUUUGUGUGUUGAUUAAAGGGGGAGGAUUGGGUAGUCAAAGGCUUAAGUUAGUUACUAGACCAUUGAGGGAGGAGUUAUUCAAGUAGGUUUGUUUAAAGGUGGGUAAUGGAGGUCAAGUGUGAUAUAGGCAUGAUUCUUCAUGCGGACAUAGACCAUUAAGGUUUUUCCAAACCUUAACUGUUUUGCUAUGGACAAAGGACCAUCACUGAAAAUAUAUUUCUCCUUCUCCUCCAAGGAAGUGGUGUGGACAUCUAGGUUUGGGAGAGGUUUGUAGGACUGGAAAAUUGAUUCUAUACUUAGCUAUGUCUCCAACAAUUUUUGGUCGGUUACAUGAAUCUUGUUUUACCAUCCUACUCAAUCAAAGCCUUCAAAGGCCAUAAGUUAAACCGCAAGCUAAAAUGCCUUUCUUUAUUAUCUCAAACCAAAUUAAUUUGUUCUCCCUCAUCUCCCAAUGUUACCUUCAAUGUGGAUAAUGUCACUCUUUGUCAUCUCCUAAGCAACGUGAUUCUUGUUUCAUAACUAUGAAAUUGAUUACAUGGCAGCCUGUUUUGAAAUGCUAUACAAUUGUUCAGUUCAAAGCAAGAUCAGGGCAUGAUGACGUGGAGAACUUCACAGAAUGGGAUGUUCUAUGUUUAUUCUUUUUCUUAAUCUAAGCCUUCUUUUUCUUGGAAACAAUUUGGAGGACUAAGGCUCCGAAUCCCAAGGUUGUGUUGCUUGUGUGAACAGCAACACACGAGGUCUUUUUGAUGAUUGACAACCUUAGGAAGAGGCAUAAGGGUAUUAUGGGGUGAUGUUGUAUAUGCAAAAGAGUGGGGAGAGAAAGUGUGAACCAUCAGCUUCUCCAUAAUCUUGUGGCUUGUGAAGUGGAGUAUAAUUUUCUUGGCCUUUGAUGUUGAGUGGGUGAUGCCUUCUUCAAUGGUUGAUCUUUUAUGAUGAGGGAGGAAAGUGUGGGGUGUUACCCCAUUGUCUGAUGUGUUGCAUUUGGAGAGAAAGGAAUUUCAUGUCUUUUGAAGGUUUGGAGCCACCUGUUCCUAGAUUGAAGGGAUGAGAGAGUUGUUUCCAUUUUCUACUUCAUGUUUUGUUGACUUUUAGGGUGGAUUUGUAGAAUCCUUGGAUAUAUAGCCUUUAGGGGUUCACUGAAUACCUUGUACAGGGUUUGUGUUGUUAAGGUACCAAGUGUCCCAAAGACUUAAGCUAUUAGGAUAUUGGUCCAACAAUAUUUAUCAGAUUGUCCAACACAAUCCCUCACACACCUCUGUUUUGCACAUGGAGAUGCAAAUAGACAUGCAUAAAUAAAUUUUUUU